Patella vulgata (common limpet) is the source of this 1197-nucleotide long non-coding RNA. RefSeq lists it as uncharacterized. NCBI's taxonomy places the organism in Eukaryota, Metazoa, Mollusca, Gastropoda, Patellidae. The record is from RefSeq and is a predicted model, not a curated record. The transcript is spliced from 7 exons.
AUUAUGGAAUUAGCUAACACGUCAUAGUGUACAAGUUUAUGGAAAAUUCCACGCACAUUCGGCACAAAGUGUGCUAACGGUAUCUGUUACUUUCGUCUUCUGCUGGUUUACUCACAGACAGUAACAAGGUUAUCAUCAUGAAGACACUACUACUAAUGAUUUUAGCUUGUGCUUUUAUUGCAGUCCAGGCAGCCAUCACUGGUCAUGCUACAUGUGAUAACAGCAUGCAGUUCUAUGCUGACGGUGUUCUAUAUACUAACAUUAACGACAACGAUUGGACCAAAUCAUCACCCAUCAGUAUUCCCGAUAAUACACGAGUUAUUGCCGUAAAAUGUGUGGAUUUGGGUGUAGUUGGUGGCAUCAAAUUGGCAUUGAGUAAUGGCAUCAGAACUGACACAACAUGGAAAUGUUCCGCUACACAUCAAUAUGGCUGGGAAACACCCCAGUUUGAUGACCGGUACUGGACAUACGCCGUAUCACCUCAUUUUAACUGGGGAUCACAACCUGCUGCUCUGAAUGGAAAAGCUGACUGGAUCUGGACAAACAUCUUUUGGGGACGGGAUACAACAGUUUAUUGUAGAAAGGUUAUCGGGAGAGGCAUCUCUGGUCAUGCUACAUGUGAUAAUAGGAUGCAAUUCUAUGCUGACGGUGUUCGGUAUACUCACACUAACGACAACGAUUGGACCAAAUCAUCACCCAUUGGUAUUCCCGAUAAUACACAAGUUAUUGCCGUAAAAUGUUUGGAUUACGGUUUAGUUGGUGGCAUUAAAUUGGCAUUGAGUAAUGGCAUGAAAACUGAUACAACAUGGAAAUGUUCAGCUACAUAUGAAUAUGGGUGGGAAACACCUGAGUUUGAUGACGGGGGCUGGCCAUAUGCCGUAUUGCCUGAUUUUGACUGGGGAUCGCAACCUGCUGCUCUGAAUGGAAAGGCUUACUGGAUCUGGACAACCGGAUAUUGGGGACAGGAUACAACAGUUUAUUGCAGAAAGGUUAUCGGGCAUCGACAGUAUGCAGUUGCUGCAACUCAUUCAUAACAAGUUGUAUUAUCUGAUUGCCUUGUAUUCGAAACCUAAGAAACACACUGGUAAACCUGACCCGAGCAUUAAAAAAUGGAAAUAUUAACAUUGAAUUAUAUCAACUUAAUAUGUUAGCAUUAUGUUAUGCUUUUAAGUAAAAUAAACCAAUUCUCGUACAGAA